This is a small nuclear RNA of Rattus norvegicus (Norway rat), 171 nucleotides long. Ensembl annotates it as U4 spliceosomal RNA. The record is from Ensembl. NCBI's taxonomy places the organism in Eukaryota, Metazoa, Chordata, Mammalia, Rodentia, Muridae.
AGCUUUGCGCAGUGGCAGUAUCGUAGCCAAUGAGGUUUAUCCGAGGCGCGAUUAUUGCUAAUUGAAAAAGUAAAUGAAUAAUAUACAGUCAUCCAUCCACAGAGGAUUAAUUCCAGGAUCUUCCCCCUGCUCACCAAGCCAAAAUCAACCCAAAUCCACAGCUGCUCGAAG